CGUCCAUCACCAGGGCGAGGUUCGAGGAGCUGUGCUCCGACCUGUUCCGAAGCACCCUGGAGCCCGUGGAGAAGGCUCUGCGCGACGCCAAGCUGGACAAGGCCCAGAUUCACGACCUGGUCCUGGUCGGGGGCUCCACCCGCAUCCCCAAGGUGCAGAAGCUGCUGCAGGACUUCUUCAACGGGCGCGACCUGAACAAGAGCAUCAACCCCGACGAGGCUGUGGCCUACGGGGCGGCGGUGCAGGCGGCCAUCCUGAUGGGGGACAAGUCCGAGAACGUGCAGGACCUGCUGCUGCUGGACGUGGCUCCCCUGUCGCUGGGGCUGGAGACGGCCGGAGGCGUGAUGACUGCCCUGAUCAAGCGCAACUCCACCAUCCCCACCAAGCAGACGCAGAUCUUCACCACCUACUCCGACAACCAACCCGGGGUGCUGAUCCAGGUGUACGAGGGCGAGAGGGCCAUGACGAAAGACAACAAUCUGUUGGGGCGCUUCGAGCUGAGCGGCAUCCCUCCGGCCCCCAGGGGCGUGCCCCAGAUCGAGGUGACCUUCGACAUCGAUGCCAACGGCAUCCUGAACGUCACGGCCACGGACAAGAGCACCGGCAAGGCCAACAAGAUCACCAUCACCAACGACAAGGGCCGCCUGAGCAAGGAGGAGAUCGAGCGCAUGGUGCAGGAGGCGGAGAAGUACAAAGCGGAGGACGAGGUGCAGCGCGAGAGGGUGUCAGCCAAGAACGCCCUGGAGUCCUACGCCUUCAACAUGAAGAGCGCCGUGGAGGAUGAGGGGCUCAAGGGCAAGAUCAGCGAGGCGGACAAGAAGAAGGUUCUGGACAAGUGUCAAGAGGUCAUCUCGUGGCUGGACGCCAACACCUUGGCCGAGAAGGACGAGUUUGAGCACAAGAGGAAGGAGCUGGAGCAGGAGUUGUAAGACGUUCAUCGCCGUGUUAUCCUUGAGUAAAGAAUGAACUCUGGAAGCCCAGCCAGGGACAAUGCACCUUCACAGAGAUUCUGCACUAAUCUGAGUGAAGGUCUAAGGUUUGGAAUCUCCCCCUCAUGGAGAGAAGCUUUGUAUGGCUGUCAUGCUUAGACAGUGAUUCCUGCAACUUGACCUUCAGGCUGGGAGAGGUGGAGAGCCAUGCCUGUUCUCCUUCCUUGCUAUGGAAUUUGCUGACACAAUAUCUUCCGCCUGGUGCUGGGCAUAUCCUAAGAACUUACAACUUUCCUGUAUUAUCCUGUGUGAGCAGCUGUCACCUUAUUGGGGGAAAAAUGCCUGAAAAUUAGGGGGCACUUCAAGUAGAUAGCUUCUAUUUCCUAUAUUUGUCUUAUAUACAAGUAUU
This is a long non-coding RNA of Homo sapiens (human), 1338 nucleotides long. The record is from Ensembl. Lineage: Eukaryota; Metazoa; Chordata; Mammalia; Primates; Hominidae.